RNAcentral lists this long non-coding RNA (714 nucleotides) under Rattus norvegicus (Norway rat). RNAcentral describes it as "long non-coding RNA NONRATT011636". The record is from RNAcentral. Lineage: Eukaryota; Metazoa; Chordata; Mammalia; Rodentia; Muridae.
GAGGGAAGGAAGAAAAACCAAUAACAAAACCUGGCUUCUCGUUCCCUCCGGAAACCGCGGGCCGGCAGGAAGUGACGAAGGAGAGGUCGUCCGGUCCGCUGGGUCUCGGCCUGCGCUCCCCGCCCGACUCCCGGAACAGUCCGAGCGGAGCGGACCGGCGCGGCGCGGCGGCCUCCGCACCUCAGCAGCCGCUGAGCGCCCGCCCGCUCGCCCGCCCGCCCGCGCGCGGUCGCGUCACCGCCCCGCCCCCGGCCCCGCCCCGCCCCGGCCGGGCCCAGCCGCGAGCUGCGGGUCGUACCCUGGGCCUGGGUGUCUUCUGCAAACGGAGCGAGCGGGGCGGCUGCCGCGUGCCAAGGGUCCCGGGGUGCGGGAGGCCGCAGAGACGCCGGCGGGAACGUGCCACCGCCCGUCGCGGGAGGACUGUCCUGUAUGCCACCUGGAGCAGAUUGCACAGGCUCGGGGACGCGGCUGGAGGAGGCCAGGUUUGGGCGUCUGAUCUAUGUGCCGCCUCUGCCCCUCCGUUCCCGGGUCCCUGUGGCCUUGGGAUCACACUGUCACCUGUUACAGAGUUGCAGUGCGUCAAAACAGAAUGGGUGCAAAGAAAAAAAUUUUUUACUCGAACGUGGACUGCGCAGUCCGCAGGCCUCAGCUGUGCUCCUUCCUCCAGGAAAGGGUGGAAGCCUGUGAGCUUGUUACCUCCUGCUUUAGGACCUC